This 772-nucleotide long non-coding RNA is filed under the name Triticum aestivum (bread wheat). Its description in RNAcentral is "long non-coding RNA (TAES_LNC004026)". The record is from RNAcentral. Lineage: Eukaryota; Viridiplantae; Streptophyta; Magnoliopsida; Poales; Poaceae.
CGAGGACCCCGCCGCGGUCGCGGGCGUCGACGCCGCCGAGAUCGGGGAGGGGCAGACCAACGACUUCCUCCGCGACAUCCAGGCCCCGCGCGCCAAGGCCUUGGCUGUGGCGUCCAAGCCCAAGCCCGGCGUUGCCGAGAGCAGCCACGGCGAGAGCGAGGAGGAGGCGCCGUUCGACGAGCUCUGCGACGAGGACAAGAUCGUGGCCUUCUUCAAGCGGCUGCUGAGCGAAUGGAACCAGGAGCUGGACGAGACGCCCGAGGCGGAGCGGCGCACGGCCAGGGGCAAGGCCGCGGUGGCCACGUGCAAGCAGUGCGCGCGCUACCUGGAGCCGCUCUUCAGGCUGUGCAGGAAGAAGGCCCUCCCCGGCGACGUCCGGCGCGCGCUGCUGGACGUGGUGCGGUGCUGCGCGCGGCGGGACUACCUGGCGGCCACGGACAGCUACAUCAAGCUGGCGAUCGGCAACUCGCCGUGGCCGAUCGGGGUGACCAUGGUGGGCAUCCACGAGCGGUCGGCCCGGGAGAAGAUCCACGCCAACGGCGUCGCCCACGUGAUGAACGACGAGACGACGAGGAAGUACCUGCAGUCGGUGAAGCGGCUCAUGACCUUCUGCCAGCGGAGGUACCCCACGGACCCGUCCAGGUCGGUCGAGUUCAACAGCCUCGCCAACGGCAGCGACCUGCACUCCCUCCUCCUCCUCGCCGAGAAGGGCGCCGAGAAGCACCCGGAGGAGACGCUCCGGCUGGUGGCUGCCUCCUGACGACGAAUCACC